Molecule: long non-coding RNA, 900 nt
Filed under: Cricetulus griseus (Chinese hamster)
Lineage: Eukaryota; Metazoa; Chordata; Mammalia; Rodentia; Cricetidae
Description: lncRNA (ENSCGRG00015043281.1)
Source: RNAcentral
CUUUGUAACUAAUACAAGUUUCUGUGUAUUCAUUUGGGCCCUAACUCAGGCGGGCGGCUGGUGUAAAACUCACACGUGGCGGUGGGGCUCGGGCGGCUUUUGGCAGAAAGAUUUAUCAAAACAGAUCAGCGCUCAGGGGUUUCUGUGAGGCUCAGCGGUGGACAUAGAGACAAGCAGUUCCCUAUGAGCCGACACAGGAUAGCAACGAAUGCUUUCUGAUUGCGGUUGAAUAGGAAGGACAUGCCACCUUGCAAGUCAGGAGAUGCAGCCUCCAGCAGAAGGUCCCGUCUGGAGUGGCGUGAGAACUAAACAGGUCCUAGGCUUCGCAUGCCCCCAGAAUGGCCACUACGGAGGCUGAGGCUGGAAAGAGCACCGGGUGCCAGGAUGGGAACACUGCGUCGGUGGGGUGGUUGGCCAGGGUUUGGACUUUAAGUGUCUCCUAGAACCACCUAAGCAGGAGACCAGAGAGAGAGGAGAGAGGAAGGAGAGAGAGAGCCCCAAUCUUCACUGCCUUCCGGUUCCGGCCACACCUGAAGCCACGCCCAAAGGGGUGUGGCCACUCACAAAUACACUACAAAGGGCAUCAAGAUUGCCUGUGUGGAGGUGACGUGGCAACUGUCAGAAGGGGCCCUAAAAUGUCAGUUCUGUCACACAGUCACGUGACCAGUGGAAGAGGACAGCAGCCCUGGAGCCUGAGAGGCGCUGGGUAGUGCACCCCACUCUAAUGGGUGUGAACUCAGCGGGGGGGGGGGUCGGGGAGCACAGCGUGGGACCUGGGUGUGAGGAAAUUCCAGACGAGGCAGUGGGUGAUGCAGACAGUGUGGUGACUUUUUGUUUGUGAUCUAAUAAAGCUUGCCUGGAGAUCAGAGUGCAAAGCUAGCCACAGCCAUAGAGGCCAGG